GUAAAGAAAAUCGCAUAAACUCUUUCCUCUCACAUUGAAAGACACACACAUUUUUCCUUCUUUCAUGCACUAAUACAUACCGCAAACACCCAUCAUGUUUCCUCCUCACUCUCUCUCAAAAAACACCACCAUCAAUAGUUCAUCAUAAAAUCAUCAUUACAACUUACUCUUCAUCAGCAUCUCCAUCUCUAAACAACCAUAAAAAACCUCACUACAAGAAAGCUUCAUAAAACCACCAUUAUCCAUUAAAACAACAAUAAACCUCGUGAAAGCUUCAACAACAACUCAAUAUCUUCAUUAAAUCACAUAGAAUAAACCAUCAACACUACUACACUCAUCAACCACCACCACCACUAUAAUACUCCUUCCGUCGCUCCAAACAUCUCGUCGUUGAUGUUCACCGAUCGAUCACUACAACAAACAACAAUGACCACGCCUAGACGCCGACCUCAACGAGCUCUUCAACGCCUACUCAUCAAUUCCAUACAUCUCCGACAAAAGGCGUGGUAUACCAUUUCUUCCCUUCGAUUUCCGACUUUGAUUUAAGUUUCGCUUUCAUUGUUGUGAAUGGGUGAAGGUCGAUAUUUGUUGUCUCAGAUGCCUAGCAAUUUUGAAGUUAAAAAUUCAAUUUAACUUCAGAAAUUGUUUACUCGUAUAAAGUUUUCUUGACCAGCCUUAGAUAGGGUGAUUAAUACGUGAAUUGCUUUACGAUUGCUUAACGUAACGUUAAAUUAUGUAGUUCAAUUUUUGAUUUUUACUUCGAGUCCCUUGGCUUUCUCUUGGGUCUUCUUACAACGAGAUUCUUUUAUUUUACAAAUGUCUUUCAAAACUUGUAUGAUUUAGUUAUUAUGUUGUAUCCCUCAUUCGAUAAAAUGUACCCCCAUUCCCGAAAAUGUGUAAAUAAUUUACCACUUUCAUUUAUUUUUAUUGUAUCAGUUGAUUGUUAAUUCCAAAAUUAAAAUCAAACAUUUUUAGAAAAGAACAAAAAAAAUACUUGACCCAAUGUCGAGCAAUUUUCACAAAAAAUUUAGAACCAUUUUCAUA
This is a long non-coding RNA of Lathyrus oleraceus (garden pea), 1044 nucleotides long. RefSeq lists it as uncharacterized. The record is from RefSeq and is a predicted model, not a curated record. The transcript is spliced from 2 exons. NCBI's taxonomy places the organism in Eukaryota, Viridiplantae, Streptophyta, Magnoliopsida, Fabales, Fabaceae.